Molecule: ribosomal RNA, 253 nt
Filed under: uncultured bacterium
Lineage: Bacteria
Description: partial 16S ribosomal RNA
Rfam family: Bacterial small subunit ribosomal RNA
Source: RNAcentral
UACGAAGGGGGCUAGCGUUGCUCGGAAUCACUGGGCGUAAAGGGUGCGUAGGCGGGUCUUUAAGUCAGGGUGAAAUCCUGGAGCUCAACUCCAGAACUGCCUUUGAUACUGGCGACCUUGAGUCCGGGAGAGGUGAGUGGAACUGCGAGUGUAGAGGUGAAAUUCGUAGAUAUUCGCAAGAACACCAGUGGCGAAGGCGGCUCACUGGCCCGGUACUGACGCUGAGGUGCGAAAGCGUGGGGAGCAAACAGGG